Molecule: long non-coding RNA, 672 nt
Organism: Aplysia californica (California sea hare)
Lineage: Eukaryota; Metazoa; Mollusca; Gastropoda; Aplysiida; Aplysiidae
Exons: 2
Source: RefSeq, a predicted model, not a curated record
UUUAGUACUAUUUAGCCGGUGCUCUGCUGUGAUUUGCUCCCUCUUUCCUACCACACAUGUAUCGUCCUUUUUUCUCCUUCUUCUUGUCUCUGUAUGAAUCUUCAGAACGUAUAUCUUAAAGAAUAUUUAAGUUGCAAGUGUCUUAAAACUCUUAUUUAAACUAAACUGUUCCAGGUUUCAGGAUGAAAUAAAUUAUACUAUGAUCUACUUGUAUUGAAAGUGCCGCAAAUCUUUUACAAAAACUGAAACCUGAACUAAAAAAGGCACCAACCACCGGAGCAGAUAAUACCGAAAGUGACAUUAAAACACAAGUGCAUUAAACCCCAUGUCUAAUGACGUGUUUCCCUCUCUCCCCCAGGUCGUCUGGGAGUCUGGCCUGUAGGUGUGAAGUGUUUGGAUUACCUGUAGCCGGCGCGCCAGGUUUUAUGGCCCUCGUAUUCCCACUGCUAGGAUAACAGAGCUGGGGAAUUUUCCACUUCCCUCACUCCGUGGGCGUUUCCUCGUAUGAGAAGAUUUUUAGGUGGAUUUCUAUGACGAGGUUGGUGAUAAUGUGUGACGUGUUAUUUGCCGUUAUCCGUUUAUUUUUUGUUAACUAGUUGUUAUCUCACAUAUUUUAGAAUUAUUGUUUGUAUUCUUUCUUUUCUCGUUGUCGUUGCUUUUAUUUUUAUUGAC